Molecule: long non-coding RNA, 341 nt
Organism: Polyodon spathula (Mississippi paddlefish)
Lineage: Eukaryota; Metazoa; Chordata; Actinopteri; Acipenseriformes; Polyodontidae
Exons: 4
Source: RefSeq, a predicted model, not a curated record
CUGGAGAGGUGUUCAAACACAGGCAAAAGUCAAACAAGAGAGCAGCAAUGGACUUGAUACAGCUAAAGGACAAGAAAGAUUAUGGAGAAUUCCUUCGGCUUGCCAGGAUAGUGAAAACUAUUUGUGGAAUUAAUCUUUCUCUGAAAAGGCAUUCUGGUCUAAGCAUGGUGAAACAAUGGGCCGAAACUAACCAGAGAACAAGACCAGAUCUUGCAAGAGAUCUCUUAUUCAACAUUGAUAUAUUUACCAGAAACAAGCUUAGUGGAGGGUGUGCAAAGCUGAAAAGUCUGCUUUCCACUUCACCAUUACAAAGGCGGCAUCAUGAUGUUCAAAAGGUAUAA